AAAAAGUUUGAAAGGCAAAAGAAAAAUAAAGCCUGGGAAGGAUUGGGCAGAGAGAACUUAUGCCCUGGUUUGGGGGAAAGUGAGAACAAAAGAAAAUCACUGGUCCUCUUGUAGCCUACAUUUCCUGAGGAUAGAACCAACACACUAUCUGCCCAUUGUACUGUCAUGAAGGAAAGCACAGAGAGUUGGCAGGAAAGAUACAGCCACCUCUUUGGAAUCCAAGUGAUAGGAAAAACAGCGUGGUGAAAAUAGAACACAAGCGGGGGAUGGAAGAAGCUUUUGUAGACAGGAAGUUACCGUACUUAAAGAGAUAAGACCUAACAGAGAGACCCACAACUGGACAAUGUGCAGAGUAAGAGACUUAGACCCAAUAGGAUGUCUUCGUCAUACCCCUCCCCUCAAGGCUCAGGGGCCUACGAGGAAGAAGAGGCAGAAAGAUUGUAAGAGUCAGAGAUGAUGAAUGACUCUAAGAAAAUAGUUUCUUCUAGAAACAACAGGAUUGGUGCACAUAUGAACUAACAGAGACUGGCAGCAAGCGCAAGACCUGCAUUUGUUCAAGCCAGACAGAGUUCCAGCAAGGAGAAGGGGAAGUGGAUAUGGAAUUCUGACCCUAACCAAGAAGCAACUGAGUCCCACUAGCAAAGGGAAAAUCAUUUUUCUCCGAUGAGUGUCAUUAGGUAUAUCAACUGCACUCCAGGGCAGGCCCCAUGCCCGGGAGCAGUGAAUGGGCCGACACAAAAUGAAUUCCUUGUGUGUGUGUGUGUGUGUGUGUGUGUGUGUGUGUGUGUGUGUGUGUAUACACUUUUUGUCUUGUUUGGUUAUCUUUUACUUGUGUGUUUUGCUUUUUGUGGGGUUUUGUUUGUUUUCGAUGUCUGAUUUAGUUUGAUUUCUGAAAGAGAAAAAGAACAUAGAGUUGGUGGAUAGGAAAGUGAGUAUUGCAUCUGCUAGUGAUGACCAGAGCCAAGGAACUGAAAUCAAAUUUGAAAUUCAGCAGAACCAGGGGACUCAAGGCUAUGCUGCUCAAGAGCACUUUACUGGCAUUCUGUAGAGCUUUUGUUCCAGAUAGCUCAGAGUUCAAAGCAGGGACAGAGAAACCAUGAAAAAACAUACACAGUUUUUCUCAUCACUGUCAUCAGAUGUGCUCAGGAGACAGACAGUCUCAUGGCUGAAUGGGGAACGUUUCCAUAAUGUCCUUGAAUACUGAGCUAGAGGAAGGAUACAUCUUGCCCGUGGCAUCCCUUAGGCAGUUGGGGCCAUUCCUCCCAGGGGAGUAAAUAAGGUUUUAUGGGAGUAGAAUUCACCUAGCAGGAUAGUAUUGGAAAGUCUAUUAUAUGCAGACUACAGGUGGGGAGGAUCUGGGAGGAAAUGGGGAAGAGGGGAAACAUGAUCAAAAUCCAUGAA
This is a long non-coding RNA of Peromyscus eremicus (cactus mouse), 1401 nucleotides long. RefSeq lists it as uncharacterized. The transcript is spliced from 3 exons. Lineage: Eukaryota; Metazoa; Chordata; Mammalia; Rodentia; Cricetidae. The record is from RefSeq and is a predicted model, not a curated record.